UCAGCUCGGCCUUCAGAAACGAGAUCUGCUUUCUCCUCUGCUUGUUUUACUCCCUUCAGAUGUGCUUGAUUCACAGGGAGCAACUGUGCUUGCUUGAUUCUAUUCAACCCUUGAGCUGAGCAUUUUCUUGUCAUUGCCUGAUCGCUGUAAAUCUAGCCGACACUGGCCCUAGUGAUUGGGUAGCGAAUUUUCUGAUGUGUGGCAGAGGUGAUGGCAUUGAUCUUGCUAAUAUAAAGCUUAUUACAAGUGGGGAGUAGACAUCGAGAUCUAUCAUGCCCGUGGUAACUGUUGUUGAGCCAUUAAAGCCAGUCAGUGACCUCACUGGUUUCUUGAUCUUUGUCUCCAGACCCAUCUAUUGGAUAAUGGCCAAUUGUAGGAUGUUGAUUACGCUGCUCUUGUCUGUAUGGACUCAAUCGACUACGGCCUGAGCGAUUUGGAUGCUGAUGAUGAGGGCGUCGUUGUGUAGCAAAUCGAGGGCGAUUAGAUCUUUCUUUUGGAAAUCGAUCACUGGAUCAUCUUCUGCUAAUAGAAGGCUUCACAAUGGCCUGUUUGAUCUUCCUCUUCUUUUCUUUGUUGGUCAGGCUGGACUCCUUGGAGUCGGCCAGGAUUGUGUUAAUCCUUAUGACCAUCUAAGGUGGCUCCUUGGCGGUAUCGUACUCUUCAAUCUGCUGGAUGGGCUGCUUUGUAAUGAAUUUCGUGCAGUGACCUUCUCUCACCAGUUCUUCGUGUAAUGACCCU
This 738-nucleotide long non-coding RNA is filed under the name Prunus persica (peach). Its description in RNAcentral is "long non-coding RNA (PPER_LNC003600)". Lineage: Eukaryota; Viridiplantae; Streptophyta; Magnoliopsida; Rosales; Rosaceae. The record is from RNAcentral.